UUUCUUCUGAUUAGUUUUCCUAUUCAUCAGCACAUGUGACCAUGGAUCUUGUAAAGCAGAGUCUACAUCCUGGGAUGGUAUGGUUUCUAAGACUUGAAAGUGCCCUCUUGAUUACCUCCUCCAAGCAAUAAACAUGCACGAUGAAAGCAUAUUGAUGACACACCCAUCCCACCCUCCACUAUUGGCAUGUGGUUCCCGGAAGUUGCCCAGAAGAGAAUGUGUUCCUCGGACUGCUGGUACCUCUCUGAGAAAUGGACAGGUUAUGGUGCAGAUAUGCCCAAAGAGUAUACCUUUAUGAACAUCUUUAUUUUUGUGCUUCAUGUUUUCCACAUCACUCCAAAUGGUUCUAAAACGUUUAUUGCACAGGGUCUUCAUCAGAAUGUGCAAAUGAAUCUGAAAAUUCCAUCGGGUAUAGUUAUUUUAUGUCUGACUAUAUCACCUGUCUGUCAGCUUAAUAUCUCUUCAAGUCCAUCUUUCAAGUUUUCUUGUCCCAAACUCAAUACCCUUUUGAUCUCUUGUUUCCCUUGUGAGCUAAUGAUUAAAUUACACCAUGUCCAGACUAUUACCAGAACAAAAUACAUAAAUCGUAUGACAAUCUUU
Rhineura floridana is the source of this 600-nucleotide long non-coding RNA. RefSeq lists it as uncharacterized. The record is from RefSeq and is a predicted model, not a curated record. The transcript has 3 exons. NCBI's taxonomy places the organism in Eukaryota, Metazoa, Chordata, Lepidosauria, Squamata, Rhineuridae.